This 419-nucleotide ribosomal RNA is filed under the name uncultured Proteiniclasticum sp. RNAcentral describes it as "bacterial SSU rRNA". It matches the Rfam family "Bacterial small subunit ribosomal RNA", at positions 338 to 774 of the family's 1533-position model. Lineage: Bacteria; Bacillati; Bacillota; Clostridia; Eubacteriales; Clostridiaceae. The record is from RNAcentral.
CCUACGGGAGGCAGCAGUGGGGAAUAUCGCACAAUGGGCGAAAGCCUGAUGCAGCAACGCCGCGUGAGUGAUGAAGGCUUUCGAGUCGUAAAGCUCUUUGAUCAGGGAUGAUAAUGACAGUACCUGAAAAACAAGCCACGGCUAACUACGUGCCAGCAGCCGCGGUAAUACGUAGGUGGCGAGCGUUGUCCGGAAUUACUGGGCGUAAAGGAUGCGUAGGUGGAUAUUUAAGUGGGAUGUGAAAUCCCCGGGCUCAACCCGGGAACUGCAUUCCAAACUGGAUAUCUAGAGUGCAGGAGAGGAAAGCGGAAUUCCUAGUGUAGCGGUGAAAUGCGUAGAUAUUAGGAGGAACACCAGUGGCGAAAGCGGCUUCCUGGACUGUACCUGACGCUGAUGAGCGAAAGCUGGGGGAGCAAACA